GCGUCACUAGUGCAACGAGUUUGAGCAUGCCCUUCCGGACAGAGUGCGAUGCGGGUUCGAGUCCCGCCUGACGCA
Parelaphostrongylus tenuis is the source of this 75-nucleotide non-coding RNA. The record is from the annotation of a GenBank genome assembly. NCBI's taxonomy places the organism in Eukaryota, Metazoa, Nematoda, Chromadorea, Rhabditida, Metastrongylidae.